RNAcentral lists this long non-coding RNA (517 nucleotides) under Mustela putorius furo (domestic ferret). RNAcentral describes it as "lncRNA (ENSMPUG00000025494.1)". The record is from RNAcentral. Lineage: Eukaryota; Metazoa; Chordata; Mammalia; Carnivora; Mustelidae.
GCUAUCUUUAGACAUGACUGACUUUAAAUAGAUGCCCUUGGUUGCUGCAUGGAAAAUGGAUUGCAGGGAGAAGCAAUAGUUAGAGCAGGUCUGCAGGGGAGUGAUGGUGGGCACACAGACCACAGAGACAAUCAGAGAGGAAGACUGAGGGCAGAGAUGCAAGAGCUAAGUCUGCCAGGGUGCGCCCAAAUCCAAGAUGGUGUCCUCAGGAGAACAGGAAGUUUGAACACACGGAGAGACCCCAGGGCGUGCGAGGGGCCAGCAAGGCAGCCACUAUCUGUAAGCCAAGGAGACACACCGCAAGCGAAACCAGCCCUGCCAGCGCUUUGGUCUUGGACUUCCCGUCCUCCAGAAAUUUAAGAAAAUAGAUUUCUGUUUUAAGCCACUCGAACUGUCGUGUUUUGUUAAGGCAACCCUAGGAAAUGAAUACAAUAUAGUAAGGAAAAGCAAUCACUUGGAUGAUGGAAAAUUAAGAGGACUUUAGGAGUAUUGAAGGUAACAAGGUAACACACCCCCC